CGGUGGAUGCGUAACGGAGAGGGGACGGCGGUUGCGAGCUGUGAUCUGGGAGCCUUCGCCAUUCCAAAGGCCAGGCUUCAGAGAGAGAGUGGGUGCAGAGGUCAAAGACUACGGCGGGACACCGAAACGGAGCCAGAGGACCGAGUUCUAAUCCCCGGCUCCGCCGCCUGCCUGCCGUGGGAUCCUGGGCAAGUCGCUUCACUUCUCCGGGCCUCGGUCUUCUCGUCCGUAAAACGGAGGUUCAAAACCUCACCCCGCCGGCCCCACCUCGCCGCCCCCGUCCCGGACGACCCGGUCCAGCGAGGGCAACGGUCUGUCUGCCCCAGACACGAACCCCCUUCUCAGCCACCGGGGAAACUGCUGGUUUCCCGCGCAAUCUUACCAGAGUGCUUUGGGAGUUCUUGUAUCUACUGAGCAUUUUCCUCUGUUUAAAACUGAGCAUCCGAGUCCCGUCUGCCUCCCGUUUCAGAAGUUUCCGGAGCCGAGGUGUUAUUUUUGGCUUGGGCUUGAGACGCACUCUGUAGGCGCCCAACACCAGGAACUGGAAACAGUAAGGACACACGUCUUUUGACUUCUUUUUGUCAGCUAAAAACCAAACAGAAGAAACCAGGCAGUCGGUCAGUCAGUACCGCCCCAAACUUCAGAACUCGGUAGAUAAUACGAAAAUGUAACUUGGGAACGAGAAAACAGAGCCACGCGUAUCUCAUUUGUCACUGUGGCGGAGAUGUUUCUUCACUGUUAAAAGUCAAAAGAAC
This is a long non-coding RNA of Ornithorhynchus anatinus (platypus), 755 nucleotides long. RefSeq lists it as uncharacterized. The transcript has 2 exons. The record is from RefSeq and is a predicted model, not a curated record. Lineage: Eukaryota; Metazoa; Chordata; Mammalia; Monotremata; Ornithorhynchidae.